UUUUGCUUAGUUCAAAGGUUAGAGCAUC
RNAcentral lists this transfer RNA (28 nucleotides) under Ephedra sinica (Chinese ephedra). RNAcentral describes it as "partial tRNA-Thr". The record is from RNAcentral. Lineage: Eukaryota; Viridiplantae; Streptophyta; Gnetopsida; Ephedrales; Ephedraceae. RNAcentral also lists the same sequence under 4 other names.